UAGCGAGUACAGACAUUGCUUCUAUCUUUGAGGAGCACCAUAUCUGUAAGAACAGUAGCAUGCUGCAGUGUGACCAAUACCGGGACAGUAGGCGUCUAUGCACUGGACUAGAACAAGCUUGUCUUCAACAAUGUAUUGGUGGGUCAGUCAGCCAAAGCCCAGUUCUGGCUGACCAAUCCAGGGAAUGUGUCCUGUAAACUCAGCCUGGUCAUCAAAACAGUCAAGUUUUAGACAUACAAAGAUGUGUAUCCCCAGCCACUCAUGCUUUUGCCACCAUCACCUUUUCUCCUAUGACUAUGCACAUAUAUCAUGCAGUGUUUGAGGCAGUUCUGAAAGGGACCACAAGGUAACUGCUUUCAAUACAGGUUUGAACUGUUUAGAUGGUUGUUGAUAGAUUGUUGAGGCUUUACUCAUUCUGUUUUGUAACACUGUCAAGCUUCUGCCCCCAAACCUAAAGCUCUGGUGUUUGAUCUAAUGGGUGAAGGCAAUUUGCCCUGUAUCACUGUUCUGAGACCUAUUCAGAGGUCAGUCAGUGCUAAAUUUCAAGCGCUUAUUGGUGGGACAAGGGCAGACUCUUCCAUUAGUGAUCAAGGACAAUGGCAAUGUGCCUGCACAAGUUAGCAUUAUUCUACAAUGUCACCUGGAAGUUUUCACUCUAAAAGCGGCUCCUGGCUGGUUUGCAUACUGGCCUCCUCACAAAUAGAAAGCAAUCCUAGAGAAGGCAAGCCAUAAACACACAUGAAGAGUCAUAGACAUUCAUUUCUGCACAAUGCUGUUAUGUUUUGCUCUUCAAAUGAGCUAUGAAACCAAUAACACAAACAGAAGCAGAUUGUUUUGGAUCUUGCU
Cyprinus carpio (common carp) is the source of this 846-nucleotide long non-coding RNA. RefSeq lists it as uncharacterized. The transcript is spliced from 3 exons. NCBI's taxonomy places the organism in Eukaryota, Metazoa, Chordata, Actinopteri, Cypriniformes, Cyprinidae. The record is from RefSeq and is a predicted model, not a curated record.